CUCGCUGUGAAGAUGCAGUGUACCCGCGGCAAGACGGAAAGACCCCGUGAACCUUUACUAUAGCUUGACACUGAACAUUGAGCCUUGAUGUGUAGGAUAGGUGGGAGGCUUUGAAGUGUGGACGCCAGUCUGCAUGGAGCCGACCUUGAAAUACCACCCUUUAAUGUUUGAUGUUCUAACGUGGACCCGUAAUCCGGGUUGCGGACAGUGUCUGGUGGGUAGUUUGACUGGGGCGGUCUCCUCCUAAAGAGUAACGGAGGAGCACGAAGGUUGGCUAAUCCUGGUCGGACAUCAGGAGGUUAGUGCAAUGGCAUAAGCCAGCUUGACUGCGAGCGUGACGGCGCGAGCAGGUGCGAAAGCAGGUCAUAGUGAUCCGGUGGUUCUGAAUGGAAGGGCCAUCGCUCAACGGAUAAAAGGUACUCCGGGGAUAACAGGCUGAUACCGCCCAAGAGUUCAUAUCGACGGCGGUGUUUGGCACCUCGAUGUCGGCUCAUCACAUCCUGGGGCUGAAGUAGGUCCCAAGGGUAUGGCUGUUCGCCAUUUAAAGUGGUACGCGAGCUGGGUUUAGAACGUCGUGAGACAGUUCGGUCCCUAUCUGCCGUGGGCGCUGGAGAACUGAGGGGGGCUGCUCCUAGUACGAGAGGACCGGAGUGGACGCAUCACUGGUGUUCGGGUUGUCAUGCCAAUGGCACUGCCCGGUAGCUAAAUGCGGAAGAGAUAAGUGCUGAAAGCAUCUAAGCACGAAACUUGCC
Molecule: ribosomal RNA, 752 nt
Filed under: Escherichia coli
Lineage: Bacteria; Pseudomonadati; Pseudomonadota; Gammaproteobacteria; Enterobacterales; Enterobacteriaceae
Description: partial 23S ribosomal RNA
Rfam family: Bacterial large subunit ribosomal RNA
Source: RNAcentral